Molecule: non-coding RNA, 27 nt
Filed under: Homo sapiens (human)
Lineage: Eukaryota; Metazoa; Chordata; Mammalia; Primates; Hominidae
Source: RNAcentral
UACUGAGGCCUUAGUAGGUGGUUUUCC